Molecule: long non-coding RNA, 732 nt
Organism: Zonotrichia albicollis (white-throated sparrow)
Lineage: Eukaryota; Metazoa; Chordata; Aves; Passeriformes; Passerellidae
Source: RefSeq, a predicted model, not a curated record
CUGAAAUAACCCACAGCCGGAAUAACCCACGGCUGGAAUAACCCACAGCUGGAAUAACCCACAGCUGCAGAAACUGACAGCUGGAAAAACCCACGACUGGAAUAAUCUGCAGCUGCAAAAAUCCACAGCUGGAAAAACCCACUGCUGCAAAAAUCCACCACUGCAAAAAUCCACCGCUGCAAAAACCCACAGUUGCAAAAAUCCACCACUGCAAAAAUCCUCCUCUGCGGCGGCAGCAGGAGAAGCUGAAACUGCUUCAUCCGGCGUGAAAGGAGCAAAACAUUUUGUUAAAUAGAAAGAGGAAUAAUGCAAAUGACCAGUUACUUUGAUCAACUCAUCUGUGCUGUGCCACGGAAGGCAGGUCCAUUGCUUUCCAGCGUUCCUGGAGAAAAGCAGAGUUAAACUCUCAGAGCCCCAGUGGGAUCAGUGGCCUCAGCAGACAAUCCAGACUGAUCUACCUGGAAACUGGAAUGCCAAGGCACAGCAGGAGAAGGUGAAAUGAACUGUGUGUUUUCAUGCAGAGGUUUAUGCUAAGUACAGUGCACAUGAAAGCACACCAUCCCAAAAAUGAAAUGCUUUCAUGACUAAGUGCUGUAUGGGAUCCACUGGCAUUGCUCUUCCAGGGAAUAAGAGAGUUCUCUCUGCAGGGGAACCCAUGACUUCAGGAAGCUGAGGCAGCAACAAUACUGGAAAAAACUGAUCUGAGGGAAGGCAGUUGAUGGUGGAAAUUAC